Non-coding RNA from Salvia hispanica, 1316 nucleotides. The record is from RefSeq and is a predicted model, not a curated record. NCBI's taxonomy places the organism in Eukaryota, Viridiplantae, Streptophyta, Magnoliopsida, Lamiales, Lamiaceae.
UUCACUCCUCUCUCUCCUCCCUCCUUGUCGGCGCAAACCCUAAACUUUCUCCAUUACAAUUCGCCGGAAAAUCCGUCGUCUACCACCGAAUCGUCGCCGGGGACGACACCAGCACACCUUACAACUCCUUGCCAACUUCUUACCACUGCUAAUCCAAAGAUUUGAACCUAAAGGACUACCAAAACAAUCUCAAAACCUACAAAUUCGACGAUUUAGAUGCCCGACUAAAUUCUAUUCGCCGAAUGCUUAUCGAGGUCAUCGGUUUAACGAAGAAGACGAAGAGUGGUGUAAAAUCCGUUUCAAUACAGCAAAAAUCCAUUGAUAUUUCAGCAAUUACAUCGAAAUCAGUUUCGGUUAAAGAUUCGGAGAAGUAGUAGAAGACUUUCUAUGAUUCAACAAAUUGAUCGAAAAUAUUGGAAAAAAAGACCACAAAAAAUUCGAAAAACCCUAUAAUUACAUGCCUAUUCAGAUAAGUUUCUCACACUAAGUUCGGUUCAUCAGUAUUUUGAGCAAUUACAAGUUGAAAUGUUGUUGACAGACUCUAUUAGGUAGAGAUCCACAGUUGUGACCAAAUAUAUAAAAAUUUUAUAUCACUCUGAGAUUUCAUUUUGAUGCAACACCAUUGGAUAGAAGAGCAUUUUAUAGAAUUUCAGAAUCUGUAUAAGACUUGCUAUCUAUUAGAAAUUAAAGGUUUUAUGACAAUUUACAUGAUAUAAAUGCUUUUUCUACAUGAAUAUACAUUCUAUAGAUGCUGUGAAAGGAGAUUAUACAAUACUGCAAGCUUUUUAACAAAAAAAAGUACUUACUUUUGUUUAAUGCCAGGAAAGAUAUUUGAAAGACAAUGAUAUAUGCAAGAAGAAGAAGGAUAAAAAGAUUCUGCACUCAAUUCAGCAAGCUAAACAGAGAAUGUGAAGAAGUCAGAAAACAUGCCACGCGAUCAUGGAAGAUAGCUUCCAAGGUCUUAUCAUUCUUAUCUCCAGAAUUGUUCUCAUAAAGCUGGACACAACGGACCUUGAUGACAGAGUAAUCAUCUUAAAAAAUUUCAAGAAGAAUGGAAGCCAAGGCAAGGACCACAUAUUGCAUGGAAAACUGGAAUAAGAGGAGCAGUGCAAGGGACAAAAAGUAUAAAACCUCAACUUCAUGAGCCAUUCAAGGUUUCAAGCAUAAAACAAAUGGAAGGAAUAACAAAUUCAAGGGACAAAUUGCAAAGGAUGUAAAUAAUGGAUUCCAAAGAAGACACAAUGCAUUGGAAACUGGAGUGUGUCAGACAGCUUUGGAAGAGUGGAAUAAAUAGAUACUCCCUCCGUCCCAAGGAA